GACGAACGCUGGCGGCGCGCCUAACACAUGCAAGUCGAACGGAGCUGAGAGGAGCUUGCUUUUCUUAGCUUAGUGGCGAACGGGUGAGUAACGCGUGAGUAACCUGCCCUGGAGUGGGGGACAACAGUUGGAAACGACUGCUAAUACCGCAUAAGCCCACGAUCCGGCAUCGGAUUGAGGGAAAAGGAUUUAUUCGCUUCAGGAUGGACUCGCGUCCAAUUAGCUAGUUGGUGAGGUAACGGCCCACCAAGGCGACGAUUGGUAGCCGGACUGAGAGGUUGAACGGCCACAUUGGGACUGAGACACGGCCCAGACUCCUACGGGAGGCAGCAGUGGGGGAUAUUGCACAAUGGGGGAAACCCUGAUGCAGCGACGCCGCGUGGAGGAAGAAGGUUUUCGGAUUGUAAACUCCUGUCGUUAGGGACGAUAAUGACGGUACCUAACAAGAAAGCACCGGCU
This 459-nucleotide ribosomal RNA is filed under the name uncultured bacterium. RNAcentral's name for it is "bacterial SSU rRNA". It matches the Rfam family "Bacterial small subunit ribosomal RNA", at positions 28 to 498 of the family's 1533-position model. The record is from RNAcentral.